UGGAGAAGGAGCAUGAGAAAUGGCUACUAUUUCUAAGGAAAGCAGCAGGCGCGUAAAUUAUUCAAUGGGAAUAUCUUCCCGAAAUAGUGACAAAAAUACCGAUGUAUUAGACUACGUCUAGUACAAUUGGAAUGGAACAAUCAAACCCUAUUGAGUAACAAUUAGAGGGCAAGUCUGGUGCCAGCAGCCGCGGUAAUUCCAGCUCUAAUAGCGUAUAUUAAUACUGUUGCAGUUAAAACGCUCGUAGUUGAACUUAGGAUUAUUACAAGUCUGGUUUUGUUGAUUCAAAACUGCUUGCUUAAUCCUUAUCUACUAGAUACUCUAUUCUGUACUUAAUUGUAUGGAUAUCACCUAGCCCAGUGGAACUUUGGUUAAAUGGUGCCUUUUAUUGUAUACCAGAGUGUAAAAAACUUGAAGUUUUAACAAGGGAUCACACUA
RNAcentral lists this ribosomal RNA (438 nucleotides) under uncultured eukaryote. RNAcentral describes it as "bacterial SSU rRNA". It matches the Rfam family "Eukaryotic small subunit ribosomal RNA", at positions 384 to 822 of the family's 1831-position model. The record is from RNAcentral.